Long non-coding RNA from Cannabis sativa, 1611 nucleotides. RefSeq lists it as uncharacterized. Lineage: Eukaryota; Viridiplantae; Streptophyta; Magnoliopsida; Rosales; Cannabaceae. The record is from RefSeq and is a predicted model, not a curated record. The transcript has 6 exons.
AUUUGUGGAUUUUUGUGUAAAAGUUUUUAGUAUACUUUGUGUAGAGAGAGAAUUAAAAUAGUUAUUGUUGAUAGGAUUCAUACAAGAUUCAACAUUGGAGAAGCUAUUAUAUAAAAUCUUUCAACAUAAAUAUGAGAAUGAAGGGAUUUUUUAUGGUUGCUAUUGUAUUGUGUAAACUUUUAUGUUAUUGCAAAUCUCAAGAACAAUCAGUAAAAUUAUCAAGAGAUGAACUUCUUGAAAUAGAGAAUCAACUUGAGCGACUGAACAAAUCAUCAAUCAAAACUAUAAAACACAACAUGGAGAUAUUUAUGAUUGUAUUGAUUUUUACGAACAACCAGCAUUUGAUCAUCCUUUGUUGAAGAAUCACAAAUAUGAUUUUCAAAUGGGACCUUCUUCUCAUCCCAAUCCGAUGGUUAGGGAAAACAAACCUCCAAAAAAUGUGAAACAAGUAUCGAUAAAUAAUGGGUUAAAAGGUGAAAAAUGUCCAGCUGGGUUCAUUCCAAUAAGAAGAAUUACCAAGGAAGAUCUUAUCAGAGCCAAAUUAUUUACAAAGUCAUAUACUUCAAGAAUUAAUUCUCCUCCUACUUUUCAUCAUGCACUUGUUUACACAUCCGAUCCAACCAAGAAAUACAAUGGAGGUGGAACAUUUGCAAGUUUUUACACACUAUAUAAUGUCACUGGCUCACAAUAUACUUUUGGUCGAAUAAAAUUGCAAAAUGGACUUGAUAUCAUUCAAGCUGGUUGGGGAGUAAAUCCUAGUGUAUACGGGGAUAAUAAGACUCGGAUCUUCAUAUAUUUUCAGGUUACCCUAAUUUUAUAUUAUUAUUUAAGGGUUUUUCAUAUUCGUUGUGUAAUUAUGUGUUAGGCUAUUUUUAGCCUAUGUUUUGGAUCCAAUUUAUGUGCAUUCUUAGCUGUGUUGGGACGGAAUUACGCUUGUUUUCUAUGUUUUCAGGUUCUUUGGAGUAAAAGAGGUCUCGGGUGCAGAAAUUCAUUGAAAGACGUGCUGAGCCGAAGAAAAACUUCAUUUUUGAGUUUUUGCAUAUCUGGCCGCGGCGAUGAAGAGUCUCGCCGCGGCGAGAUACGAGAUACAGAGAGAGGCUGAAAUUGGCACAUUCUCGCCGCGGCGAGAGGAAGCUUGGCCGCGGCGAGAUCCCGUACGGACCAGGGGUAUUUUCGUCCAUCGAACCCUAAAUUUCAAGUAUAAAUAGAAAACUGCGAUUGGAAUUCAGGGAGAGCGAUUUGGAACCCUAAAACACAGCUGAGAGCGGCAGGAAGAGCAUAGAGAUUCAAGUGAAGAUCCAGAAUUCAUCCUCAAACAGUUCUUUUCUUUAUUCCUCUUUAAUUUAUUUAUGUUGAAUAUUGCUAUAGGAAUGGUUAUGGAUUUGUUUCUGAACUAAAUUUCCCAUUUAGGGAGGAUGAUGAUUGUUGUUUAAUGUUUUGCCUAGUUAAUGUUUAAUUACCAUUCCUCAAUUCUUGUGUGUGAAAUUAUCUUAGUUUGUGUUUAAUUUCAUGUUUAAGAUUGAUCACCUUGUGCAUGUUCUAUGAUCUCAAUUCAAAAUCUGAAAAGUGAGAAUUGAGAAUGCUAAAAUUAAGAUAAUCAAUGUUCUAUGU